This 270-nucleotide ribosomal RNA is filed under the name uncultured Pseudomonas sp. Its description in RNAcentral is "partial 16S ribosomal RNA". It matches the Rfam family "Bacterial small subunit ribosomal RNA", at positions 1114 to 1382 of the family's 1533-position model. Lineage: Bacteria; Pseudomonadati; Pseudomonadota; Gammaproteobacteria; Pseudomonadales; Pseudomonadaceae. The record is from RNAcentral.
GUUACCAGCACGUUAUGGUGGGCACUCUAAGGAGACUGCCGGUGGACAACCGGAGGAAGGUGGGGAAUGACGUCAAGUCAUCAUGGCCCUUACGGCCUGGGCUACACACGUGCUACAAUGGUCGGUACAAAGGGUUGCCAAGCCGCGAGGUGGAGCUAAUCCCAUAAAACCGAUCGUAGUCCGGAUCGCAGUCUGCAACUCGACUGCGUGAAGUCGGAAUCGCUAGUAAUCGUGAAUCAGAAUGUCACGGUGAAUACGUUCCCGGGCCUU